CUCACAUCAUUAAACUUGCAUUCCAAAUACUCUGUCUUGUUCCUACUCAACCUGAACCCUUCAGACUCAAGAGUUUAUCUCUAUAACUCUAAUUUAUCAUUCACACCCCCUCCCCCCACAUCUCAUCAAUCAAAACUACAUCAUCUUCAAAAAGCAUACACCAAGUCACCUCUCCUUGAAUACGCCGCGUCAACACAUCCAUCACCAAAGCAAACAAAAAGGAAUUAAGAGUAGAUCCCUGAUGCAAUCCUGUCA
This 255-nucleotide long non-coding RNA is filed under the name Capsicum annuum. RNAcentral's name for it is "long non-coding RNA (CANN_LNC005169)". Lineage: Eukaryota; Viridiplantae; Streptophyta; Magnoliopsida; Solanales; Solanaceae. The record is from RNAcentral.